This 28-nucleotide non-coding RNA is filed under the name Mus musculus (house mouse). Lineage: Eukaryota; Metazoa; Chordata; Mammalia; Rodentia; Muridae. The record is from RNAcentral.
UUGUCAACAAAUGGAAGUGGAAGUGAAG